This 253-nucleotide ribosomal RNA is filed under the name uncultured bacterium. Its description in RNAcentral is "partial 16S ribosomal RNA". It matches the Rfam family "Bacterial small subunit ribosomal RNA", at positions 524 to 776 of the family's 1533-position model. The record is from RNAcentral.
UACGUAGGCAGCGAGCGUUGUUCGGAGUUACUGGGCGUAAAGCGUGCGUAGGCGGUAGACCAAGUCUGGUGUGAAAGCUCCCGGCUCAACCGGGAGGGUGCGCCGGAAACUGGUUCGCUGGAGUGCGGGAGAGGCAAGCGGAAUUCCAGGUGUAGCGGUGAAAUGCGUAGAUAUCUGGAGGAACACCCGUGGUGCAGACGGCUUGCUGGACCGUGACUGACGCUGAGGCUCGAAAGCGUGGGUAGCAAACAGG